This 253-nucleotide ribosomal RNA is filed under the name uncultured bacterium. RNAcentral's name for it is "partial 16S ribosomal RNA". It matches the Rfam family "Bacterial small subunit ribosomal RNA", at positions 524 to 776 of the family's 1533-position model. The record is from RNAcentral.
UACGUAGGGUGCAAGCGUUAUCCGGAUUCACUGGGUUUAAAGGGUGUGUAGGCGGGCUGUUAAGUCAGUGGUGAAAUCCCCGGGCUCAACCCGGGAACUGCUUCUGAUACUGGCGGACUUGAGGCCAGUAGGGGUCACUAGAACUGACGGUGGAGCGGUGAAAUGCGUAGAUAUCGUCAGGAAUGCCGGUGGUGAAGACGGGUGACUGGGCUGGUUCUGACACUGAGGCACGAAAGCGUGGGGAGCGAACGGG